GGCUCAAUGGUCUAGUGGUAUGAUUCUCGCUUUGGGUCUAUUCUGAAAUGCGAGAGGCCCCGGGUUCGAAUCCCGGUUGAGCCC
Non-coding RNA from Ustulina deusta, 84 nucleotides. NCBI's taxonomy places the organism in Eukaryota, Fungi, Ascomycota, Sordariomycetes, Xylariales, Xylariaceae. The record is from the annotation of a GenBank genome assembly.